Molecule: long non-coding RNA, 438 nt
Filed under: Pan troglodytes (chimpanzee)
Lineage: Eukaryota; Metazoa; Chordata; Mammalia; Primates; Hominidae
Description: long non-coding RNA NONPTRT008457
Source: RNAcentral
CACACACAGGAUAACCACACCAGCCAGUCUCUCUCCUUCUCUCACACACACAGAAUAACCACAUCAGCCAGUCUCUCUCCCCGUCUCUCUCACACACAGAAUAACUACAUCAGCCAGUCUCUCUCCCCGUCUCUCUCACACACAGAAUAACUACAUCAGCCAGUCUCUCUCCCCGUCUCUCUCACACACAGAAUAACUACAUCAGCCAGUCUCUCUCCUUCUCUCUCACACACAGAAUAACUACAUCAGCCAGUCUCUCUCCCCCUCUCUCUCACACACACAGGAUAACCACAUCAGCCAGUCUCUCUCCUUCUCUCACACACACAGAAUAACCACAUCAGCCAGUCUCUCUCCUUCUCUCUCACACACAGAAUAACUACAUCAGCCAGUCUCUCUCCUUCUCUCUCACACACACAGAAUAACCACAUCAGCCAGUCU